This 77-nucleotide ribosomal RNA is filed under the name Caerostris darwini. The record is from RNAcentral. Lineage: Eukaryota; Metazoa; Arthropoda; Arachnida; Araneae; Araneidae.
UUAGAUCACCGAAGUCAAGCAUCAUUGGGCGCGGUCAGUACUUGGGUGGGUGACCACCUGGGAACACCGCGUGCCGU